AUUGAACGCUGGCGGCAUGCCUUACACAUGCAAGUCGAACGGCAGCACGGGUGCUUGCACCUGGUGGCGAGUGGCGAACGGGUGAGUAAUACAUCGGAACAUGUCCUGUAGUGGGGGAUAGCCCGGCGAAAGCCGGAUUAAUACCGCAUACGAUCUACGGAUGAAAGCGGGGGACCUUCGGGCCUCGCGCUAUAGGGUUGGCCGAUGGCUGAUUAGCUAGUUGGUGGGGUAAAGGCCUACCAAGGCGACGAUCAGUAGCUGGUCUGAGAGGACGACCAGCCACACUGGGACUGAGACACGGCCCAGACUCCUACGGGAGGCAGCAGUGGGGAAUUUUGGACAAAGGGCGAAAGCCUGAUCCAGCAAUGCCGCGUGUGUGAAGAAGGCCUUCGGGUUGUAAAGCACUUUUGUCCGGAAAGAAAUCCUUGGCCCUAAUACGGUCGGGGGAUGACGGUACCGGAAGAAUAAGCACCGGCUAACUACGCG
RNAcentral lists this ribosomal RNA (486 nucleotides) under uncultured bacterium. RNAcentral's name for it is "partial 16S ribosomal RNA". It matches the Rfam family "Bacterial small subunit ribosomal RNA", at positions 30 to 507 of the family's 1533-position model. The record is from RNAcentral.